This 254-nucleotide ribosomal RNA is filed under the name uncultured bacterium. RNAcentral's name for it is "partial 16S ribosomal RNA". It matches the Rfam family "Bacterial small subunit ribosomal RNA", at positions 99 to 354 of the family's 1533-position model. The record is from RNAcentral.
CGAACGGGUGAGUAAUACAUCGGAACGUGUCCGCUCGUGGGGGACAACCAGCCGAAAGGUUGGCUAAUACCGCAUGAGUUCUACGGAAGAAAGAGGGGGACCCGCAAGGGCCUCUCGCGAGCGGAGCGGCCGAUGACUGAUUAGCCGGUUGGUGAGGUAACGGCUCACCAAAGCAACGAUCAGUAGCUGGUCUGAGAGGACGACCAGCCACACUGGGACUGAGACACGGCCCAGACUCCUACGGGAGGCAGCAG